GAUGAACGCUGGCGGCGUGCCUAAUACAUGCAAGUCGAGCGAACAGACGAGGAGCUUGCUCCUCUGACGUUAGCGGCGGACGGGUGAGUAACACGUGGAUAACCUACCUAUAAGACUGGGAUAACUUCGGGAAACCGGAGCUAAUACCGGAUAAUAUAUUGAACCGCAUGGUUCAAUAGUGAAAGACGGUUUUGCUGUCACUUAUAGAUGGAUCCGCGCGGCAUUAGCUAGUUGGUAAGGUAACGGCUUACCAAGGCAACGAUGCGUAGCCGACCUGAGAGGGUGAUCGGCCACACUGGAACUGAGACACGGUCCAGACUCCUACGGGAGGCAGCAGUAGGGAAUCUUCCGCAAUGGGCGAAAGCCUGACGGGGCAACGCCGCGUGAGUGAUGAAGGUCUUCGGAGCGUAAAACUCUGUUAUUAGGGAAGAACAAAUGUGUAAGUAACUAUGCACGGCUUGACGGUACCUAAUCAGAAAGCCACGGCUAACUACGUG
RNAcentral lists this ribosomal RNA (497 nucleotides) under uncultured bacterium. RNAcentral's name for it is "partial 16S ribosomal RNA". It matches the Rfam family "Bacterial small subunit ribosomal RNA", at positions 28 to 507 of the family's 1533-position model. The record is from RNAcentral.